UACGUAGGGCGCAAGCGUUGUCCGGAAUUAUUGGGCGUAAAGAGCUCGUAGGCGGUUUGUCGCGUCUGCUGUGAAAACUCGAGGCUCAACCUCGGGCUUGCAGUGGGUACGGGCAGACUAGAGUGCGGUAGGGGUGACUGGAAUUCCUGGUGUAGCGGUGAAAUGCGUAGAUAUCGGGAGGAACACCAGUGGCGAAGGCGGCUGCCUGGGCCAGUUCUGACGCUGAGGCGCGAAAGCGUGGGGAGCAAACAGG
RNAcentral lists this ribosomal RNA (253 nucleotides) under uncultured bacterium. RNAcentral's name for it is "partial 16S ribosomal RNA". It matches the Rfam family "Bacterial small subunit ribosomal RNA", at positions 524 to 776 of the family's 1533-position model. The record is from RNAcentral.